RNAcentral lists this long non-coding RNA (6152 nucleotides) under Physcomitrium patens. Its description in RNAcentral is "long non-coding RNA (PPAT_LNC014298)". Lineage: Eukaryota; Viridiplantae; Streptophyta; Bryopsida; Funariales; Funariaceae. The record is from RNAcentral.
GUUAAUUGUGUAAUAUCUUCUAGAAAAGCUUCUUAGAAGCUUCAUAGACACUGCUUUGACUUUAUAGGAGUCUAUAGUUGACUUUUAGGUUAGAAACUUGGUCAACAAGUUAGCCAUGUGCCACACAUGUUGGAAGCUUAAAGAACAAGCUAACUACGUGGUCCAUCCAUAGAAAACUUGCCUUGCAAGCAAAGGCAUGUGGCCUAGAAAGUCAACAUAUAUUGGAGGUCUUAUAGAACACCGCCACGUGGCUUCUAGUUAGAUAGUAUAUAUAGAGGCAAGAGUGAAGCCCUCUUCACUCUUGUCAACUCCUUUCUUGCUUCUAGUCUAGUUUCAAGGGUCUCUAGUUUUCUUGUAUUUUGGCAAUAGCCAUUCUAAUUUCUUUCUUAAUAUACAUAUUUCUAUUUUGUCCUAUUUCUUUGAGAAAAGUCUCACUUACUCUUUAGCUUUCAUCGAGUUCUUGUCCUUGACAGAUUGACAAGAGUGCACUUACAAUAUGAGAGCUUUGUCUUUUCUUGAUUAAGAGUGGAUUACCCUUUUUUCUUGAUAAGACAUAAGCGCAUUAGAAGUUGCGGAUUACCCUCUUUUAAACUGAUAUUGUUCUUAGUAUUUUCUUUGUUAUCAAUUCCUCUCUUCUAUUUGUUUUGAGCGUUAUUAGACAUCUUCUCUUUUCUAAGUGCUACUAUGGCAGAGCUUGUUGAAAUGAAGAGUGCAAUGGCACAGAUGCAAGAACAAUUGAGUGAGUUAAUGCUUGCGAUGCAUCAACUCAAUUUACCACCACAAGGAGCAACAAGAAUGGUAGGAAGUGAAGAUAUAGAGAUGAUUGGGACUGCUUCAACAUCUGCACCAAACCAUGUCCCUUCUCCCAGAAUGGAACACCCUUCAAGUGUUAGAGAACCGAGAGUGGCCUUGCCCGAGAAGUUUGAUGGUACCAGAUCCAAGUUUCGAGGAUUCAUCAAUCAGGUCCAAUUAGUGAUUGAACUUCAACCCCAGAGCUAUCCAACUCCAGGGUCACAAGUUAGAUUCAUUGGUACACUUCUUUCAGGUUCAGCAUUGUCAUGGUUUUCAUCUUUUCUUGAACGACGAGAUCCAAUAUUGGAUAAUCUGGAGGUUUUUUUGGCGGAGUUUCGAUCCAUGUUUGGAGAACAUGAUGCAAUUCGUGUUGCAACCAACAAGAUCCGUAUUUUGCGACAAGACAAUCGAUCAGUAACAUUAUAUGCUUCACAAUUUCGACAACUUGCAACUGAUAUCAAGUGGGAUGAUGCCGCACUUGUGAGUCAAUUUCUCUACGGAUUACAAUAUGAGGUAAAGAAAUUGAUGCUUAAUUUACCUGAUCCUCAAACAUUGAGUCAAGCAAUUGACUUUGCUGUGAAGUGCGACAAUCGACUUUUUGAAUUUCGAUCCGAGAGUCGCACAAGUAGGCCUCAACGUUACUACAAUUCAAUGACAACACCGACGUCUCCUCAACACAUACCUUCAGAAGUAGAGGAUAUGCAAAUUGAUGCGGUACGUUUCAAACCUCUUAUUGAGCAAGAAAAGUCUCGUCGUCGACAAGAAGGAUUGUGCUUAUAUUGUGGAGAACCUAAGCACACUGCUCAACAUUGUCCAAAGAAGCAACGUAACUACAAAAUGAGGAGUACGGCUGUCAAAAAAGACAGUAUGUCGGAAAACGAGUACGUCCAGCUACAAUAGGGACCGUGCGGCUGGAAUCUUGUACAACUUCUAAUGAAGGUCCUAUCCUCUCCUCAGAACCAUCUCCUUGUUUUAUAAUAGAUGUGCGUUUAGGACCUAAUAAUUACAAAGCCUCUGCCUUGAUAGAUUCAGGAGCCUCAGCUUGUUUUUUAGAUGAAGAAUUUGUUAGAUGUCAUAGAAUAUCAUUAAUACAAAAAACUAAACCUGUACACGUAGAAGUCAUAGAUGGUCGUCCGUUGUCUUCUGGAGAUGUAACUCACGAAACACUUCCUGUAGAUGUAGUAAUAAAUGGUCAUAGUAGUUGCGUAAUUUUUAAUAUAAUUAGAUCUCCCUCUAAUCCAGUAAUUUUAGGCUUAUCAUGGUUAGAAAAGUAUAAUCCUCGAAUAGAUUGGAUUUCUCGUAAACUUGAUUUUCCUCAGAGCAUUAGUAACAGUUCUAUUAAUCAAGUAAAAAACCAUGAGUCUAGUAUAGUAAAACCCGCACUUAUAGGUGCAAAAGCAUUUAUACACGCAACAAAAGAAGGAUCAACUUUUGCUAUUUAUGCUGCACCUAUUUCUGAAAGCAUAAAGACUUCAAGUGGCAUUCCAAGUCAAUAUCAGGAGUAUCAAGACGUUUUUGAGAAAAAAAAUGUAGAUAUUCUUCCUGAGCAUCGCCCAUACGAUUGUUCAAUCGAUCUCAAGGAAGGAACUCAGCCACCAUUUGGACCAAUUUACAGUUUAUCGCAAGAUGAGUUGGCUGAACUCAAGACAUAUAUUGACGAGAAUUUAGCGAAGAAUUUCAUAUGCCAUUCAAAAUCUCCAGCAGGAGCUCCAAUUUUAUUCGUAAAGAAAAAAGAUGGAUCUUUACGAAUGUGUGUUGACUAUCGAGGACUCAACAAGAUCACAAUCAAGAACAGGUAUCCAUUACCUUUGAUAUCAGGACUCCUUGACCAGUUAAAUCAAGCUAAGAUCUAUACAAAAAUAGAUCUAAGAGGAGCAUAUAAUCUAGUACGGAUCAAAGAAGGAGAUGAAUGGAAGACUGCGUUUCGAACCAGGUAUGGGCAUUUUGAAUAUAAUGUCAUGCCUUUUGGACUCACGAAUGCACCAGCUGCUUUUCAACAUCUCAUGAAUGAUGUAUUUCGUGAAUUUUUAGACAAUUUUGUCGUCUGCUAUCUAAACGAUAUCCUGAUUUAUUCUAAGAAUGUUGAAGAACAUGAAAUACAUGUUCGUCAAGUAUUACAAAAACUCAGAGAUGCAGGAUUGUACGCCAAGAUGGAAAAGUGUGUAUUUCACACUACUCAAGUUGACUUUUUAGGAUACAUCAUUUCAAAUGAUGGUCUUAUGAUGGAUUCUAAGAAAGUCCAAACAAUCAUGGAUUGGAAGAUUCCAAAGACUGUAAGAGAUGUCCAAUGUUUCUUGGGAUUUGCCAAUUACUAUCGGAUCUUCAUCAAAGAUUUCUCACGAGUUGCAGCUCCACUUACACGCUUGACUAGUAAAGAUAAAUUCCAAUGGAAUCAAGAAGCGGAAGCAGCAUUUGAAGCCUUGAAGACAUCGUUUGUCUCUGCACCAAUCUUAUAUCGUGUUGACUUUUCCAACGUAUUUUUUAUGGAAACAGACGCAUCGGAUUUUGCCUUGGGUGCAGUUUUAUCACAAAUGGGAACAGAUGACAAACUUCAUCUGAUAGCUUUUCAUUCAAGAAAAUUCUCAGCAGCCGAGAUCAAUUAUGAGAUCCACGAUAAAGAACUUCUUGCGAUCGUGGAUUCCUUUCAAGAAUGGCGUCAUUAUUUAGAAGGUGCUUCUAGUCCAGUCACUGUGUAUACAGAUCACAAGAACCUCGAGUAUUUCAUAUCAGCACGCGUGUUGAAUCGUCGUCAAGCUCGUUGGAGUAUGUCUUUGUCAAGAUUCGACUUCAUUAUCACUUAUCGGCCAGGAAAACAACAAGGUUUGUCCGAUGCCCUGUCUAGACGUUCUUAUUUUGCACCAAAAGAAGGAGAUGCAGCUUUUGAGCAACAAAAAAUGGUCCUCUUGAAACCGGAGCAAUUUCAUCUCCGAGCAGUGGAAUCAACAUUGACUGUUGAUUCAACUUUUCUCAAGCAAAUCCAGUCCAGUAUGUCCUCAGACCCUCUUGUUUAUGAUAUCGAGAAUAAUUCUUCCAAGUCUCAUGAUUCUUCUAAGUUCGAGUUCAAGAAUAAUCUAUUAUAUUUUGAAGGACGCCUAUAUGUUCCAGAAGAAAAAGCACGUUUGCGUGUUCUUCAAGCACGUCAUGACUUUCCAGCAGCAGGGCACUUUGGAUAUAAUAAGACUCUGGAACUCAUAUCAAGAGAUUUUUGGUGGCCACAAAUGUGGAAGUCAGUCAAAGACUUUGUACAAUCAUGUGAUAUUUGUUCAAGAUCAAAAAUUCCUCGACAUCGACCUUACGGACUUCUUCAGCCAUUACCUAUACCAGAACAACCAUGGUCUUCUGUUUCUAUGGAUUUCAUCACAGAUCUUCCAAACUCAAGAUCUUAUGAUUCUAUAUUUGUGAUAGUAGAUCGUUUCACGAAGAUGGCACAUUUUAUGCCAUGUACAAAAUCUAUCACAGGUGAAGAAACAGCUAAGCUUUUCAUUGAUAAUAUCUAUCGCUAUCAUGGAUUACCUAAAGAUAUCAUAUCGGAUAGGGGAACUCAAUUUGUGUCGAGAUUCUGGAGGACUCUUUUCAAGAUUUUAAAAGUGGACAUAAAGCUAUCUUCAGCUUUCCAUCCUCAAACUGAUGGACAAACAGAGCGCGUAAACCAAGUCUUGGAACAGUAUUUAAGGUGUACUAUCAACUACCAACAAGAUGAUUGGACAAACCUUCUAUCAUUGGCAGAGUUUGCUUAUAAUAAUACGGUACAUUCCUCCACGCAACAAACACCUUUCUUUGCCAAUUAUGGCUAUCAUCCACGACUUGAUACUUUUGAUUUUUCAAAAGUUGAUAAUCCUGCAGCAGAAGAUAUGGCAAAUCGGUUGUCAGAGUUACAUGCAAUAAUGAAGGCGCAGUUGAAGAAAGCUCAAGAACGACAAAAGAUAAACGCAGAUCUAUAUCGUAAGGAGCAACCACAGAUCAACGUGGGUGAUAAGGUAUGGCUACUUCGUCGCAAUAUCAAGACUACUCGAUCUUGUGACAAGUUGGACUAUCGUAGGCUUGGCCCCUUUUCUGUUUCUGAAUAGAUCAACCCAGUUGCAUAUCGGUUACAUCUACCGGAGUCAAUGAAGAUCCAUCCUGUAUUCCACGUGUCUCUUCUUGAACCAUAUAAGACAGUGGAUAUACAAAGAAGAAGACAAAUGCCACCGCCUCCUAUAGAAGUAGAUAAUAAUGAAGAAUUUGAGGUGGAAGAGAUAUUAGACUCAAGGCGGCGCCAAAAUAAGCUGGAAUAUCUUGUUCAUUGGUGCGGAUAUGAUAUUAGUGAGCGCACAUGGGAGCCAUCCAGGAAUCUAGCAAAUGCAUCAGCUAAAGUCAAAGUUUUUCAUCAACGACAUCCAUCAAAACCAAGAUGAAAACCUCUCUUAUAAAAGAGACAAGAUUGAGGCAAGAUAACAUUCAAUUUCCUAUCCUUGUUUGUAACUUCUUUGCAUUUUGUGACGCUAAUUAGAUGGAGAGCCAACAACCAGCGGAUUCAACUCAAGAACCUUCGUUUGCUGACUUACCGGAUGAGACAUUGCGAUGGUCACAACCUUCAAGACGACGCAACCGAGAUGAAGACCCUCAAGAACGACAUGUUCUUCCUCGAAUAGAUGGUGAGAUACAACGCGUUUGGUAUCACGACCUUGGAAGAGAUUCUCGAUGUUUGGUGAUAUUAUUAGAGAUAGGAACGACUCCUGAUGGUGUUUCAAAUGUAUUAUUUGAACGAAGUUAUGAAGACCUCAACAGUGAUCAAAUAACAGGGUGGUCUUCUCGCCCUGGAAUGGGACACUAUCGAUGGCUAAGAGGACCCAUCAACUAUCUUCGAAGAGAACAAAGAUCAGAGUAUGUAGCAAAUACAAUUCGCCGCAUAUUAGAUUUUCUCAAUAUAUAAUCACCGCUCCUCGUGGAACUCGUCCCUAGAAGGGGGGGUAAUGUCACGGACAUACAUAUAAUUACCUAUAUGAAUAGAUAAAAGUAUGUAAAAGUAGAUAAAAGUAGGUUAAUUGUGUAAUAUCUUCUAGAAAAGCUUCUUAGAAGCUUUAUAGACGCUGCUUUGACUUUAUAGGAGUCUAUAGUUGACUUUUAGGUUAGAAACUCGGUCAACAAGUUAGCCAUGUGCCACACAUGUUGGAAGCUUAAAGAACAAGCUAACUACGUGGUCCAUCCAUAGAAAACUUGCCUUGCAAGCAAAGGCAUGUGGCCUAGAAAGUCAACAUAUAUUGGAGGUCUUAUAGAACACCGCCACGUGGCUUCUAGUUAGGUAGUGUAUAUAGAGGCAAGAGUGAAGCCCUCUUCACUCUUGUCAACUCCUUUCUUGCUUCUAGUCUAGUUUCAAGGGU